This 439-nucleotide ribosomal RNA is filed under the name uncultured bacterium. Its description in RNAcentral is "partial 16S ribosomal RNA". It matches the Rfam family "Bacterial small subunit ribosomal RNA", at positions 339 to 795 of the family's 1533-position model. The record is from RNAcentral.
CUACGGGUCGCUGCAGUGGGGAAUAUUGCACAAUGGGGGAAACCCUGAUGCAGCAACGCCGCGUGGAGGAUGACGCAUUUCGGUGUGUAAACUCCUUUUAUAUCCCAAGAUAAUGACGGUAGGAUAUGAAUAAGCACCGGCUAACUCCGUGCCAGCAGCCGCGGUAAUACGGAGGGUGCAAGCGUUACUCGGAAUCACUGGGCGUAAAGGGCGCGUAGGCGGGUUGUCAAGUCUUGAGUGAAAUCCAACGGCUCAACCGUUGAACUGCUUGAGAAACUGGCAGCCUAGAGUAAGGGAGAGGUAGAUGGAAUUGGUGGUGUAGGGGUAAAAUCCGUAGAGAUCACCAGGAAUACCCAUUGCGAAGGCGAUCUGCUGGAACUUUACUGACGCUGAGGCGCGAAAGCGUGGGGAGCAAACAGGAUUAGAUACCCCGGUAGUC